Molecule: ribosomal RNA, 1167 nt
Filed under: Brevibacillus laterosporus
Lineage: Bacteria; Bacillati; Bacillota; Bacilli; Caryophanales; Paenibacillaceae
Description: partial 23S ribosomal RNA
Rfam family: Bacterial large subunit ribosomal RNA
Source: RNAcentral
CUACGGGGUUGUGGGGCGUUUCAUAUAGGAGUUACAAAAGACAGAUGUAGGUGAACAGUUUGGGAAGACUGACCAAAGAGCGUGAUAGUCGCGUAACCCAAACAUCUGUCUCUCCGAGACCAACCCCGAGUAGCGCGGGACACGUGAAAUCCCGUGUGAAUCUGGCAGGACCAUCUGCUAAGGCUAAAUACUACCUAACGACCGAUAGUGAACCAGUACCGUGAGGGAAAGGUGAAAAGCACCCCGGGAGGGGAGUGAAAUAGUACCUGAAACCGUGUGCUUACAAAUAGUCGGAGCACUUUCUAUGUGUGACGGCGUGCCUUUUGUAGAAUGAACCGGCGAGUUACGAUAGCGUGCGAGGUUAAGUCGAAGAGACGGAGCCGCAGCGAAAGCGAGUCUGAAUAGGGCGAAAGUACGUUGUCGUAGACCCGAAACCGUGUGAUCUAGCCAUGUCCAGGGUGAAGGUAGGGUAACACCUACUGGAGGCCCGAACCCACGCACGUUGAAAAGUGCGGGGAUGAGGUGUGGCUAGCGGUGAAAUUCCAAUCGAACUCGGAGAUAGCUGGUUCUCCCCGAAAUAGCUUUAGGGCUAGCCUCGGAUUUAGAGUCUUGGAGGUAGAGCACUGAUUGGACUAGGGGCCCUCAUCGGGUUACCGAAUUCAGUCAAACUCCGAAUGCCAAGUACUUAUAUCCGGGAGUCAGACGGUGAGUGCUAAGAUCCAUCGUCAAAAGGGAAACAGCCCAGACCAUCAGCUAAGGCCCCCAAGUGUAUGUUAAGUGGGAAACGAUGUGGAGUUGCCCAGACAACCAGGAUGUUGGCUUAGAAGCAGCCACCAUUUAAAGAGUGCGUAAUAGCUCACUGGUCGAGUGACUCUGCGCGGAAAAUGUAACGGGGCUAAACAUACCGCCGAAGCUAUGGCAGUCCUUAUGGACUGGGUAGGGGAGCGUUCCAAGCAGCAGUGAAGCCGUAUCGUGAGGAGCGGUGGAGCGCUUGGAAGUGAGAAUGCCGGUGUAAGUAGCGAAAAGACAAGUGAGAAUCUUGUCCACCGAAAGCCUAAGGUUUCCUGGGGAAGGCUCGUCCUCCCAGGGUUAGUCGGGACCUAAGCUGAGGCCGAAAGGCGUAGGCGAUGGACAACUGGUUGAUAUUCCAGUACCACCUCUGUUCCG